AGCAGCCGCGGUAAUUCCAGCUCCAAUAGCGUAUAUUAAAGUUGUUGCAGUUAAAAAGCUCGUAGUUGAAUUUCGGGACCAAUCUGCCGGUCGUGCCUCCGGUACGCACUGGUUUUAUUGGUUUCUCCCUUCUGACGAACCAUGAUGUCAUUAAUUUGGUGUCAUGGGGAAUCAGGACUGUUACUUUGAAAAAAUUAGAGUGUUUAUAGCAGGCUCACGCUUGAAUACAUUAGCAUGGAAUAAUGAAAUAGGACGUUUGACCCUAUUUUGUUGGUUUCUAGGAUCGACGUAAUGAUUAAUAGGGAUAGUUGGGGGCAUUAGUAUUCAAUUGUCAGAGGUGAAAUUCUUGGAUUUAUCGAAGACUAACUACUGCGAAAGCAUUUGCCAAGGAUGUUUUCAUUAAUCAAGAACGAAAGUUAGGGGAUCGAAGACGAUCAGAUACCGUCGUAGUCUUAACCAUAAACUAUGCCGACUAGGGAUCGGAUGAUGUAAUUUUUAAUGACUCAUUCGGCGCCUUAAC
This 520-nucleotide ribosomal RNA is filed under the name uncultured Glomus. Its description in RNAcentral is "SSU rRNA". It matches the Rfam family "Eukaryotic small subunit ribosomal RNA", at positions 569 to 1092 of the family's 1831-position model. Lineage: Eukaryota; Fungi; Glomeromycota; Glomeromycetes; Glomerales; Glomeraceae. The record is from RNAcentral.